UUGUGGUUAAAAAGCUCGUAGUUGGAUCUCGGCGGACUGAGGGCGGUUUGCUUGCUAGUAUUACUGCCCUAUAGUCCGUAGUUUUGCCAGAGGUUUCGGGGUGCUCUUAAUCGAGUGUCCCGGGAUGCUGGCAGGUUUACUUUGAAAAAAUUAGAGUGCUCAAAGCAGGCUAUUACGCCUGAAUAUUCGUGCAUGGAAUAAUAGAAUAGGAAGUCGUUUCUAUUUUGUUGGUUUUCGGAAAUCGACUUAAUGAUUAAUAGGGACAGUCGGGGGCAUUUGUAUUCAAACGACAGAGGUGAAAUUCUUGGACCGUUUGAAGACAAACUACUGCGAAAGCAUUUGCCAAGAAUGUUUUCAUUAAUCAAGAACGAAAGUUAAAGGUUCGAAGGCGAUUAGAUACCGCCCUAGUUUUAACCAUAAACGAUGCCAGCUAGCGAUCUGCGGACGUUUUUUUUGUAGACUCCGCAGGAAGCUUCCGGGAAACCAAGGCAUUUGGGUUCCAGGGGAAGUAUGGUUGCAAAGCUGAAACUUAAAGGAAUUGACGGAAGGGCACCACCAGGAGUGGAGCCUGUGGCUAAAUUUGACUCAGCACGGGAAAUCUCACCAGGCCCGGACACUGGAAGGAUUGACAGAUUGAUAGCUCCUUC
RNAcentral lists this ribosomal RNA (647 nucleotides) under uncultured marine eukaryote. Its description in RNAcentral is "SSU rRNA". It matches the Rfam family "Eukaryotic small subunit ribosomal RNA", at positions 613 to 1261 of the family's 1831-position model. The record is from RNAcentral.